UUGAACGCUGGCGGCAUGCUUUACACAUGCAAGUCGAACGGCAGCGGGGUAGUGCUUGCACUACUGCCGGCGAGUGGGGAACGGGUGAGUAAUAUAUCGGAACGUACCGAGUAAUGGGGGAUAACCAAUCGAAAGAUUGGCUAAUACCGCAUACGUCCUGAGGGAGAAAGCGGGGGAUCGCAAGACCUCGCGUUAUUCGAGCGGCCGAUAACUGAUUAGCUAGUUGGUGGGGUAAAGGCCUACCAAGGCGACGAUCAGUAGCGGGUCUGAGAGGACGAUCCGCCACACUGGGACUGAGACACGGCCCAGACUCCUACGGGAGGCAGCAGUGGGGAAUUUUGGACAAUGGGGGCAACCCUGAUCCAGCCAUGCCGCGUGUAUGAAGAAGGCCUUCGGGUUGUAAAGUACUUUUGUUAGGGAAGAAAAGGGAAGUGCUAAUACCACUUUUUGCUGACGGUACCUAAAGAAUAAGCACCGGCUAACUACGU
This 488-nucleotide ribosomal RNA is filed under the name uncultured bacterium. RNAcentral's name for it is "partial 16S ribosomal RNA". It matches the Rfam family "Bacterial small subunit ribosomal RNA", at positions 30 to 506 of the family's 1533-position model. The record is from RNAcentral.